GGGCCCGCACAAGCAGCGGAGCGUGUGGUUAAUUCGAUGCUACACGAAGAACCUUACCAGGGUUUGACAUACAAGUAGUAGGGAAGGAAACUGGACGACCUUCGGGAGCUUGUACAGGUGCUGCAUGGUUGCCGUCAGCUCGUGUCGUGAGAUGUUGGGUUAAGUCCCGCAACGAGCGCAACCCUCGACCUUAGUUGCCAGCAUUCAGUUGGGCACUCUAAGGUGACUGCCGGCUAAAAGUCGGAGAAGUGGGGAUGACGUCAAAUCAUCAUGCCCCUUAUGACCUGGGCUACACACGUGCUACAAUGGGCGGUACAAAGGGUCGCGAACCCGCGAGGGGGAGCCAAUCCCAAAAAGCCGCUCUCAGUUCGGAUUGCAGGCUGCAACUCGCCUGCAUGAAGCCGGAAUCGCUAGUAAUCGCGGAUCAGCAUGCCGCGGUGAAUACGUUCCCGGGCCUU
This 458-nucleotide ribosomal RNA is filed under the name uncultured Anoxybacillus sp. RNAcentral describes it as "bacterial SSU rRNA". It matches the Rfam family "Bacterial small subunit ribosomal RNA", at positions 917 to 1382 of the family's 1533-position model. The record is from RNAcentral. Lineage: Bacteria; Bacillati; Bacillota; Bacilli; Caryophanales; Anoxybacillaceae.